CUAACUCCGGGUCAGCAGCCGGGGUAAUACGGGGGGGGCAAGCGGUGUUCGGAGUUUCUGGGCGUAAAGGGCUGGUAGGCGGCCAACUAAUUCCGACGUGAAGUCCCCAGGCUUAACCUGGGAACUGCGUCGGAUACUGGAUGGCUUGAAUUCGGGAGAGGGAUGCAGAAUUCCAGGUGUAGCGGUGAAAUGCGUAGAUAUCUGGAGGAAUACCGGUGGCGAAGGCGGCAUCCUGGACCGACAUUGACGCUGAUGAGCGAAAGCUAGGGGAGCAAACGGGAUUAGAUACCCUAGUAGUC
RNAcentral lists this ribosomal RNA (299 nucleotides) under uncultured Treponema sp. Its description in RNAcentral is "partial 16S ribosomal RNA". It matches the Rfam family "Bacterial small subunit ribosomal RNA", at positions 497 to 795 of the family's 1533-position model. Lineage: Bacteria; Pseudomonadati; Spirochaetota; Spirochaetia; Treponematales; Treponemataceae. The record is from RNAcentral.